Molecule: long non-coding RNA, 1564 nt
Organism: Chelonia mydas (Green sea turtle)
Lineage: Eukaryota; Metazoa; Chordata; Testudines; Cheloniidae
Exons: 3
Source: RefSeq, a predicted model, not a curated record
CAUAGAAUUUCACUGUUAGGAACAAAGUAUCUUUGCUGUGAUACAGAAGGGCCAGGAAAGAAUGGGAGAGUGCUAGAGGGGAAAUAUAUAAGCUCAAGGCUAAUUAAGGUGUGGUUCCCUGUAGACUAGGGAAGGUGGCUGCAGGUUAAUUGGAGCACCUGCAGUCAAUCAAGGCCCCCUUAAGAACCUAAUAAAAUCCCCUGCUUCAGGCAGACAGAAGAAGGAAACUGCUCCCCUCCCUUGCUUGAGCUUGGAGAGGUGUUGAGAGAUUUGGAAGACCUGAAUACUGAAGUAAUGGGGACUCUCUUCCCUGCAGCAUCUAAGGACCGAGGGUAAUCCCACUGAAGGGGGAUGAGGGUUCUCAACUAACGGAGAUUCUCACUUGGCUCAAGGAGUAGGGGGCCUAUUUUCAGAACAGGAGGAUCCAAGUUCUUUCCCCAAAGUUUCUUGUGAAGUUCCAAGUAGCCAUGAAUAUGUUACAUUGACGACAGCACCAGAUAGAACUGAGCCCUUCUGACGUAAGUCUGAGUUUCUGACAAGGUUGGUUUGAUUUACUUCAUUUUAUUGUGUCCUCAGAAACCUUGUAAUAUAAUUGUUGGCAUCCCUUGAAGAACAACCUGAAAUAUUAGCCAUUAUCUUUCUCCUCGCCAUUACCUUCCUUAUCAUUGCCAGUGGCCAUCAGCUACACCAUACAGAAGUGAAAUCGUUUUCAGCAAUACCAAAAAUACAGUCCCUGGGACUUUCACCGAGAAGACACUAGUGUGAGUUAGCUAAGCCUGAGUGUACUCAUUUGCAAGCUGUGUUCACGUCAUGUGACCAGAUUUCAAGAUGGCAUCAGAGCCAGGAAGUUAACAAUUAAGGUCCCUUUCCUGAAAUCUGACCUGCACAGGAGGACCCUUGCACUUGGGCAGAGCCCCACUGACAUAGCGAGGACAAAAGCUUCUGCCCAGAUGGAUCCAGUACUGUACGAGGACUGGGACCUGAGGUUGCACGUCUCAAACAAGGCUUUGUGAAGUGAAUUGUAUUCCUUACGCAGUGAGUGAGGCCCAUACUCAGUCAGUAGGAAAGAAAUGAGGAGGAGAUAAAGGAAGGUCAUAGAUGCUAUUUAAAACAGAGCUAAGCAGAUCAUGCUGGCAUUGAAAUGUCAGUGCUUGGCAGGAAUGGAUACCUAAUGGGACUGGUAUCCUGCACUUGGAGGGGUCUCUCAGCAGGGGGAAGGCAUCAUUGUCUAAAGGAAAGAAUUUACUGGCAGGAGGGAGUAGAACUCCUGUGCUGAUCUGCUGUUGCUGUGACGACCCACUGCCUGGGAUCAGGGAGGUAGCAGAGCUGCUGUCCUGGAAUACAGGUCACGUCUACACUAUUCUUGGACUUCCCAGCCCCCCCUCAGACUAGUGGUGUGUUUUUUUUUUUUGUUUUUUUUUCUCUAAAGUUGCUUUUGGAAUGUUUUGCACAACAAAGUGCCGAGUGAGGGAGGUGCAUGGAUCAGAGCUAGAGCAUGUAAAUACGGGGUCUACUUUCAGGAACCCAGAGAGAACAGGUCUCUCUUGAACACCGCCUACCUUUC